Molecule: long non-coding RNA, 543 nt
Organism: Coturnix japonica (Japanese quail)
Lineage: Eukaryota; Metazoa; Chordata; Aves; Galliformes; Phasianidae
Source: RefSeq, a predicted model, not a curated record
CCGUCCCCUGCUCGUGUAAGGCCGCCGGUGCCCCUCCGCAGUGCGGUAGGGCCGGCACACCUCCCUCCCCUCCAUUACGAGGGCGUUGUUUGGCCCUCCCAUGGCACUGUGGGAGCUGGAAGGGCUGCCUUUUUGCUUUCUCUCCUCGGCCAUGUGUCUUGAUGGCCGCCCGACAGUCUGUCCAGACCAGGAGAACCUGUUGGAAGACGUGUGAUUGUACAGUAGCCAUGGGUGAUCUUCCUAGCAGUUCACAAGCUCACAGGGACAGGAAUGUGGUGAAAGCCUCUACAUGAGAAGAGCGUGUGCUAGAAGGUGACAAAGUAGUGACACGCCAGCUCUCCUGCAGUUUUAUGAGGAAGAAUUGUUAGAACCAGCCUGAAACCAGUGGCAAUGCAAGACUACUCCAUAAGAAACAAAAAGCUGUUAAGGACUUGGGAACGUUAGGCCUUGAAAUGCUUAUGGUAACACGAGGUCUUUCUAACUGUGUUAGAACAGUGUUUAUGUAGACAUAAAAAAAAUAAAUAUAUUUAUUUGUUAUUAGAA